Molecule: ribosomal RNA, 425 nt
Filed under: uncultured bacterium
Lineage: Bacteria
Description: bacterial SSU rRNA
Rfam family: Bacterial small subunit ribosomal RNA
Source: RNAcentral
UAGGGAAUUUUCCGCAAUGGGCGCAAGCCUGACGGAGCAACGCCGCGUGAGUGAAGACGGUCUUCGGAUUGUAAAGCUCUGCUCUCAAGAAUGAAAUCACAUUAGUCGAAGAGAUUAAAGUGUUGACAGUACUUGAGGAGAAAGCCCCGGCUAACUACGUGCCAGCAGCCGCGGUAAUACGUAGGGGGCGAGCGUUGUCCGGAAUUAUUGGGCGUAAAGAGCGCGUAGGCGGCUUCUUAAGUCAGGUGUUAAAGGCAUUGGCUCAACCAAUGUACGCACCUGAAACUGGGGAGCUUGAGUGCAGGAGAGGGGAGUGGAAUUCCCGGUGUAGCGGUGGAAUGCGUAGAGAUCGGGAGGAACACCAGUGGCGAAGGCGGCUCUCUGGCCUGUGACUGACGCUGAGGCGCGAAAGCGUGGGGAGCAAA